This 465-nucleotide ribosomal RNA is filed under the name uncultured bacterium. RNAcentral describes it as "partial 16S ribosomal RNA". It matches the Rfam family "Bacterial small subunit ribosomal RNA", at positions 338 to 795 of the family's 1533-position model. The record is from RNAcentral.
CCUACGGGAGGCAGCAGUAGGGAAUCUUCCACAAUGGGCGAAAGCCUGAUGGAGCACCGCCGCGUGGGUGAAGAAGGUCUUCGGAUCGUAAAACCCUGUUGUUAGAGAAGAAAGUGCGUGAGAGUAACUGUUCACGUUUCGACGGUAUCUAACCAGAAAGCCACGGCUAACUACGUCCCAGCGGCCGCGGGAAUCCGUAGGUGGCAAGCGUUAUCCGGAUUUAUUUGGCGUAAAGGGAACGCAGGCGGUCUUUUAAGUCUGAUGUGAAAGCCUUCGGGUUAACCGGAGUAGUGCAUUGGAAAAUGGGAGACUUGAGUGCAGAAGAGGAGAGUGGAACGGCAUGUGUAGCGGUGAAAUGCGUAGAGAUAUGGAAGAACACCAGUGGCGAAAGCGGCUCUCUGGUCUGUAACUGACGCUGAGGUUCGAAAGCGUGGGUAGCAAACAGGAUUAGAUACCCGAGUAGUC